Molecule: long non-coding RNA, 494 nt
Organism: Catharus ustulatus (Swainson's thrush)
Lineage: Eukaryota; Metazoa; Chordata; Aves; Passeriformes; Turdidae
Exons: 3
Source: RefSeq, a predicted model, not a curated record
ACGGGGACACGGGAACAGCGCCCACCUGGAACCCCAAAACAUCCACAGGGACAUGGGAACAGCACCACAUCUGGGACCCCAAAACAUCCACGGGGACACGAGAACAGCGCCAACCUCGAGUCUCACCAGGGAUUCCAUCCCAACAUCCAUGGGGACAUUGGACAAGUGCUCACCUGAACUAAAGGCACUGCUGUGCAGAUGCUGCCCAGCAAAGUUGUGACAGAGCUCGACCACAGAGAGCAGCAAAUCCGAGUGGGAUGAAACCUGAGCAAACGAGAAUCCUGCUCCCCGGGGGAACAGAGAUCACCUUAUAUGGGAACAUCACGGACAAGGGGAUGAACGCCCAGCCGGGCUGCUGAGACAGUUGUCUAGCCACUUCUCACAGACUCUGACAGGAGAGGAUGAUGUUAACAGCUCAGAAGUACCAGUGUGAAGAAAGUGGCUCACAAAAGCAGCAGGAUCUGGGAUCCAGCAGAAAACACUGUACCAGUGCA